RNAcentral lists this ribosomal RNA (657 nucleotides) under uncultured bacterium. RNAcentral's name for it is "bacterial SSU rRNA". It matches the Rfam family "Bacterial small subunit ribosomal RNA", at positions 42 to 745 of the family's 1533-position model. The record is from RNAcentral.
GCAUGCCUAACACAUGCAAGUCGAACGAGACCUUCGGGUCUAGUGGCGCACGGGUGCGUAACGCGUGGGAAUCUGCCCCUUGGUUCGGAAUAACAGUUAGAAAUGACUGCUAAUACCGGAUGAUGACGUAAGUCCAAAGAUUUAUCGCCAAGGGAUGGGCCCGCGUAAGAUUAGCUAGUUGGUGGGGUAAAGGCCUACCAAGGCGACGAUCUUUAGCUGGUCUGAGAGGAUGAUCAGCCACACUGGGACUGAGACACGGCCCAGACUCCUACGGGAGGCAGCAGUGGGGAAUAUUGGACAAUGGGCGAAAGCCUGAUCCAGCAAUGCCGCGUGAGUGAUGAAGGCCUUAGGGUUGUAAAGCUCUUUUACCCGGGAAGAUAAUGACCGUACCGGGAGAAUAAGCCCCGGCUAACUCCGUGCCAGCAGCCGCGGUAAUACGGAGGGGGCUAGCGUUAUUCGGAAUUACUGGGCGUAAAGCGCACGUAGGCGGCUGUUCAAGUCAGAGGUGAAAGCCCGGAGCUCAACUCCGGAACUGCCUUUGAAACUAGAUAGCUAGAAUCACGGAGAGGUAAGUGGAAUUCCGAGUGUAGAGGUGAAAUUCGUAGAUAUUCGGAAGAACACCAGUGGCGAAGGCGGCUUACUGGACGUGUAUUGACG